AUACGGAGGAUCCAAGCGUUAUCCGGAAUCAUUGGGUUUAAAGGGUCCGUAGGCGGUUUAGUAAGUCAGUGGUGAAAGCCCAUCGCUCAACGGUGGAACGGCCAUUGAUACUGCUGAACUUGAAUUAUUAGGAAGUAACUAGAAUAUGUAGUGUAGCGGUGAAAUGCUUAGAGAUUACAUGGAAUACCAAUUGCGAAGGCAGGUUACUACUAAUUGAUUGACGCUGAUGGACGAAAGCGUGGGGAGC
RNAcentral lists this ribosomal RNA (247 nucleotides) under uncultured bacterium. RNAcentral's name for it is "partial 16S ribosomal RNA". It matches the Rfam family "Bacterial small subunit ribosomal RNA", at positions 523 to 769 of the family's 1533-position model. The record is from RNAcentral.